UAAGUAUAAGCAAUUUAUACAGUGAAACUGCGAAUGGCUCAUUAAAUCAGAAAUCGUUUAUUUGAUAGUACCUUACUACUUGGAUAACCGUGGUAAUUCUAGAGCUAAUACAUGCUUAAAAUCCCGACUGUUUGGAAGGGAUGUAUUUAUUAGAUAAAAAAUCAAUGCCUUCGGGCUCUUUGAUGAUUCAUAAUAACUUUUCGAAUCGCAUGGCCUUGUGCUGGCGAUGGUUCAUUCAAAUUUCUGCCCUAUCAACUUUCGAUGGUAGGAUAGUGGCCUACCAUGGUUUCAACGGGUAACGGGGAAUAAGGGUUCGAUUCCGGAGAGGGAGCCUGAGAAACGGCUACCACAUCCAAGGAAGGCAGCAGGCGCGCAAAUUACCCAAUCCCGACACGGGGAGGUAGUGACAAUAAAUAACGAUACAGGGCCCUUUUGGGUCUUGUAAUUGGAAUGAGUACAAUGUAAAUACCUUAACGAGGAACAAUUGGAGGGCAAGUCUGGUGCCAGCAGCCGCGGUAAUUCCAGCUCCAAAAGCGUAUAUUAAAGUUGUUGCAGUUAAAAAGCUCGUAGUUGAACCUUGGGCUUGGCUGGCCGGUCCAUCUUUUUGAUGCGUACUGGACCCAGCCGAGCCUUUCCUUCUGGGUAGCCAUUUAUGGCGAACCAGGACUUUUACUUUGAAAAAAUUAGAGUGUUCAAAGCAGGCCUUUGCUCGAAUAUAUUAGCAUGGAAUAAUAGAAUAGGACGUUAUGGUUCUAUUUUGUUGGUUUCUAGGACCAUCGUAAUGAUUAAUAGGGACGGUCGGGGGUAUCAGUAUUCAGUUGUCAGAGGUGAAAUUCUUGGAUUUACUGAAGACUAACUACUGCGAAAGCAUCUUACCAAGGACGUUUUCAUUAAUCAAGAACGAAAGUUAGGGGAUCGAAGAUGAUCUGAUACCGUCGUAGUCUUAACCAUAAACUAUGCCGACUAGGGAUCGGUUGUUGUUUUUUUAUUGACGCAACCGCACCUUACGAGAAAUCAAAGCCUUUGGGUUCUGGCGGGAGUAUGGCCGCAAGGCUGAAACUUAAAGGGAAUUGACGGAAGGGCACCACCAGGAAGUGGAGCCUGCGUCUUAAUUUUGACUUAAAACGGGGGAA
This 1133-nucleotide ribosomal RNA is filed under the name Candida albicans. RNAcentral's name for it is "SSU rRNA". It matches the Rfam family "Eukaryotic small subunit ribosomal RNA", at positions 60 to 1213 of the family's 1831-position model. The record is from RNAcentral. Lineage: Eukaryota; Fungi; Ascomycota; Pichiomycetes; Serinales; Debaryomycetaceae.